Molecule: ribosomal RNA, 206 nt
Filed under: uncultured bacterium
Lineage: Bacteria
Description: partial 16S ribosomal RNA
Rfam family: Bacterial small subunit ribosomal RNA
Source: RNAcentral
CGUGCAGCCGGGUCUGCAAGUCAGAUGUGAAAUCCAUGGGCUCAACCCAUGAACUGCAUUUGAAACUGUAGAUCUUGAGUGUCGGAGGGGCAAUCGGAAUUCCUAGUGUAGCGGUGAAAUGCGUAGAUAUUAGGAGGAACACCAGUGGCGAAGGCGGAUUGCUGGACGAUAACUGACGGUGAGGCGCGAAAGCGUGGGAGCAAACA